Salvia hispanica is the source of this 127-nucleotide small nucleolar RNA. RefSeq annotates it as small nucleolar RNA snoR77. The record is from RefSeq and is a predicted model, not a curated record. Lineage: Eukaryota; Viridiplantae; Streptophyta; Magnoliopsida; Lamiales; Lamiaceae.
AGGCAACCUCCUUCUGUCUUGAGAAAAGAAUGGGAAGGAAGGUGUUUAUCUGCUCAUAAAAAGACCUUUUGCUCUUCAGACUUGCUGAGUUUUUCCUUGAAGCUGGUCUAGUAAGCUCAAGAACAUU